UCAGAUUCUUAACCCACUGUGCCACAGCAGGAACUCUUGGGGAUUUUUAUUAUAGCAUAUAUACACGUAUCACGGUAUUCAUAUAUUCUAAACUAUAUGUACAAUAUAAAUGUUUUUUAAUGAGAUGAAAGAAAUUUAAAAAUAAAUGUUAAUGUUAUUUUUCCACACACCAAUAGAUCAUUGCACAUUCUGGAAUAAUUUUACUGCCCUACUUGGAAACUAUUGAUGAGUUAACUGAGGCAGUCUAUGUUUUUAAGGAUCAUGCCUUCUUUUUUUCAGUUUAAGUCAUCUUUGUCUUAGGGUUGUUUUGUUCAUGGUAGUAAAUAAAGUCUAAUAUUUCUAAUGCUCACAAUUCUGCCUGAUAUAGAUUUUUUUUCACACAAAUGUAAAUAAGAGACUGAUAAUGCCCAAAAUUGUUACAACCAAUAUGGAAAACAGCAUGGAGGUUCCUCAGAAAACUAAAUAUAGACCUACCGUAUGACUCCACAAUCCCUGCUGUAUAGCACAGGGAACUAUAUCUAGUCACUUGUGAUGGAACAUGAUGGAGGAUAAUGUGAGAAAAAGAAUGUGUGUGUGAGAGAGAGAGAGACUGGGUCAUUUGCUGUACAGUAGAAAAUUGACAGAACACUGUAAACCAACUAUGAUGGAAAAAAUAAAAAUUAUUUUUAAAAAGAAAUCUAUCUUUUCAGAAAUUAAAUGAAUAAGUAAUUAACUGCAGGAAUUAAUAGGCAAUUUAAAAGAGGAAUAGGUAACCAAAUCAUAAAAGAACAGGAAAAAACAAUCUUGAGAAGAACAAAAUUGGAAUACUCAUAUUUUCCAAUUUAAAAAUUCACUCAAGGAGUUCCCGUCGUGGCGCAGUGGUUAACGAAUCCGACUAGGAACCAUGAGGUUGCGGGUUCAGUCCCUGCCCUUGCUCAGUGGGUUAACGAUCCGGCGUUGCCGCGAGCUGUGGUGUAGGUUGCAGACGCGGCUCGGAUCCCGCGUUGCUGUGGCUCUGGCGUAGGCCGGUGGCUACAGCUCCGAUUCCACCCCUAGCCUGGGAACCUCCAUAUGCCGCGGGAGCGGCCCAAGAAAUAGCAACAACAACAACAACAACAACAACAAAAAGACAAAAGACAAAAAAAAAAAAAAAUUCACUCAAAAGCUACAAUAAACAUCACAAUGUGGUACUGGCAUAAAAUAGAUGUAUAUAUCAAUGGAAUAGGAUUGAAUGUCCAGACAAAACACAUCCUUUGGUAGUCAAUUGAUUUUUGACACGUGUACUAAGACAACUCAAUGGGGAAAAAAUAGUCUUCAACAAAUGAUGCUGGGAUGACUGGAUUUUCACACCCCAAAGAAUGAAGUCUUACCCAUCCUUUACAUCCCACAUGAAAAUUAACUCAAAAUGAAUCAAAGACUUCAAUAAAAGAGCUAAAACAAUAGAAGUCUUACAAAUCAUGAGAAGAUAUUUAAAAUCAAUGAUAAUCAAAAGUAAAAUAAUUAGAAACUAUUUUUCAUCUCUCCAAGUGAUUAAAGAGAUUCUAAAGACUAAUACAGGCUAGGUUGGGAGGAAGAAGAAAUGUGAUGUACACUUGAUAAUUACAUAAAUUGACAUCUUCUGGAAAGUAGUUUGGUAAAAUGGGACAAUGUCAGAAUAUACUUACAAUGUGACUUAGUGAAUCCACUCAAAGGAAAUUAUCCUUUCAAAAAAAAUUGAUAAGGAUACAAAGUUGUAUUGUAAAGAUGCCCAUCUAAGCAUUGUAAACAACAGAAAGUUGGAAGUAACAUAAAUGCCCACCAGUUAGGAUUUGGUUAAAAACAUCUCCAACAGAAUAAAGAGCAGCCAUUAAAAUUGUUGAUAGAUAUGUAUAUUUUAUUGACAUGGAAAGAUGUAGACAAUUUAUUACUGAAGUUGAAAAAAAAAAAAGUAGGCAUCCCCAGGCCAAGUAGGGAAUAUAGAAAAGGGAAAUUAACACCCAAAAGGAGAACCCAAGGUGCUAAAGUUGAACGUUGUGUUCCUCUCUGCUUUUUCUUGAGUCAGACCUGGCUAUAUACUUCUUCCAAGAUGCUAAAGCUAAACUUUUCUCUUAUAAAUAUUUCCGGGAAGUACAUCAUGCACACCAAAAAGCUUCCUGGAUGGAAACAAACUGAACACUGAGACAAAUAAUUAUAAUAAUUCUACAUUGGCUGGCAGAUGCCGAGGAACCUAGAUGCAUGAUUAGGCAUCUUCUUCCAAUUACUAUAGCCAGUCGCAAGAGAUUCAGAUCCUUGAAUAACUGGGAUUGAUGACCCUAAAUUACUGGAUAAUCCUAAAGAUUCUAAAUCUGCUCAAGCAAAAGAAAUAGGAAGAGUCAACAUGCCUAACUAAGUGGAAAGAAUACUUUGGAGUAUAAAACAUGAGUCUGGGGAAUAUUUCCAUGUUCACUCGUAGUUAGAACCCUCUGGAGAAAGGGCCUGUCUGACCCAGAGAUGUAUUUAUUCCUCCCAACAAGUUCCCUAGGGACAAGCAUCUGUCAAUAUAGCUACAGCCCAACCUACCCGAAAUGGAGAAAAAUCAAUACCUUUUCUUCCUAGCUCCUGCAAAAGAGUGCUUAGAGCAUUAAAACAGCCCGUGAAAGAUUAGAGUUCAACUGUUUUAUCACUUGUCAGAUGCUUGAGCUAUAUUUCAUAGCAAUUUUGGUUAUACUUCCAACAGCCUUUUUUUUUUUUUUUUUUUAAGUUUCUUAGAUGCACUGCAUUAUGCUAAAGUCCAAGGGAUCAAGCAGAUUGGAAAGGCCAAGAGUGAGAAACUGCUGAGGACCCAGUCACCUACCUCGGAAGCUCCCCUUCCCUCCCAGGUCUUAGCCUAGAGCACAUGCUCUCAUAAAGUACCCAUGCAUCGCUUAAGUAAAAAGGAGACUGACGUUCCACAAAUCAGUCAAGUUUCUUAAAGUAAAAAAAAAAAAAAAAAAAAAAAAAAAACAAAAACUAGGCUUAAGUGAAUGUUUCCAGCAAGUGUCACAUCUCCAAGUGUCAGCUAUUUCCCAAGGGUAGGAAGAGGACUGCAUGUCACAUAAUUCGAGACUCACUUAUGAAGAAUCCUUACCUUUCUAUUCUGUCCCUGUCGUGAGAAAUCUGGUACCCUUCAACCAUUGCUUAUGAAGCCCAGGUAUCUUCAAAGACUGACCGCCAUUAUAAUUUUAUCUACUUCUGUAUUCUGUCCUUCUGAAUUGUUCUUGCCACCAACUCUAUUUUGAAACCCUAUGGGAUAUUGGGUAUGGCAUUUUUAAAGAGAAUCACUGUUUAGAAUCAUUUGGGAGAGGGGGGUAUUAAAUGCUGGAAAGCACAUGGGUGCCAAUAUUUCUUUCCAACAGGAGAUCCAUUUUUCAGCCCUACUUCUGAUCAGAAAGCUGAUUUUUCUCUCAAAAGUGGUAAAAUCCUCUUUUCUCAAGCACUGAAGUGUAGAUCAUGGAAAACACAAGAGCGAAUGGCUAAAGCCUUGAGAAGAAUUGGAGUAGAAGAUGGAAAAACCACAGGAAAUGAACAGCUUUUAUCCCAUUCUUAGGAUAAGAAUAAUCAACAACCAACAGUUUUGCUAAAGGUAUUAUUCAUUAGGAAUACAGUGAAUAAGUGCUGUAAGUAACAUCUUUUUGCCUCUUCUUGAAAACAAAAACUUAGUAUUUUCAACCAACUAAGGCCAUGAUAGAAG
This 3667-nucleotide long non-coding RNA is filed under the name Sus scrofa (pig). Its description in RNAcentral is "lncRNA (ENSSSCG00000059979.1)". Lineage: Eukaryota; Metazoa; Chordata; Mammalia; Artiodactyla; Suidae. The record is from RNAcentral.